AGUGAACGCUGGCGGUAGGCCUGACACAUGCAAGUCGAACGGCAGCACAGGAGAGCUUGCUCUCUGGGUGGCGAGUGGCGGACGGGUGAGGAAUACAUCGGAAUCUACUUUUUCGUGGGGGAUAACGUAGGGAAACUUACGCUAAUACCGCAUACGACCUACGGGUGAAAGCAGGGGACCUUCGGGCCUUGCGCGAUUGAAUGAGCCGAUGUCGGAUUAGCUAGUUGGCGGGGUAAAGGCCCACCAAGGCGACGAUCCGUAGCUGGUCUGAGAGGAUGAUCAGCCACACUGGAACUGAGACACGGUCCAGACUCCUACGGGAGGCAGCAGUGGGGAAUAUUGGACAAUGGGCGCAAGCCUGAUCCAGCCAUACCGCGUGGGUGAAGAAGGCCUUCGGGUUGUAAAGCCCUUUUGUUGGGAAAGAAAUCCAGCUGGCUAAUACCCGGUUGGGAUGACGGUACCCAAAGAAUAAGCACCGGCUAACUACGUGCCAGCCGCCGCGGUAA
Molecule: ribosomal RNA, 506 nt
Filed under: uncultured bacterium
Lineage: Bacteria
Description: partial 16S ribosomal RNA
Rfam family: Bacterial small subunit ribosomal RNA
Source: RNAcentral